AAUGAACGCUGGCGGCAUGCCUAACACAUGCAAGUCGAACGAGACCUUCGGGUCUAGUGGCGCACGGGUGCGUAACGCGUGGGAACAUGCCCUUAGGUUCGGACUAACUCCCCGAAAGGGGUGCUAAUACCGGCUAAUGUCUUCGGACCAAAGAUUUAUCGCCUUUGGAUGGGCCCGCGUUGGAUUAGCUAGUUGGUAGGGUAAAAGCCUACCAAGGCGACGAUCCAUAGCUGGUCUGAGAGGAUGAUCAGCCACACUGGGACUGAGACACGGCCCAGACUCCUAGAGGAUGCAGCAGUGGGGAAUAUUGGACAAUGGGCGAAAGCCUGAUCCAGCAAGGCCGCGUGAGUGAUGAAGGCCUUAGGGUUGUAAAUCUCUUUUACCCGGGAUGAUAAUGACAGUACCGGAAGAAUAAGCACCGGCUAACUCCGUG
This 433-nucleotide ribosomal RNA is filed under the name uncultured bacterium. Its description in RNAcentral is "partial 16S ribosomal RNA". It matches the Rfam family "Bacterial small subunit ribosomal RNA", at positions 29 to 507 of the family's 1533-position model. The record is from RNAcentral.